This 480-nucleotide ribosomal RNA is filed under the name uncultured Weissella sp. Its description in RNAcentral is "bacterial SSU rRNA". It matches the Rfam family "Bacterial small subunit ribosomal RNA", at positions 57 to 507 of the family's 1533-position model. Lineage: Bacteria; Bacillati; Bacillota; Bacilli; Lactobacillales; Lactobacillaceae. The record is from RNAcentral.
GUGGUUCAACUGAUUUGAAGAGCUUGCUCAGAUAUGACGAUGGACAUUGCAAAGAGUGGCGAACGGGUGAGUAACACGUGGGAAACCUACCUCUUAGCAGGGGAUAACAUUUGGAAACAGAUGCUAAUACCGUAUAACAAUAGCAACCGCAUGGUUGCUACUUAAAAGAUGGUUCUGCUAUCACUAAGAGAUGGUCCCGCGGUGCAUUAGUUAGUUGGUGAGGUAAUGGCUCACCAAGACGAUGAUGCAUAGCCGAGUUGAGAGACUGAUCGGCCACAAUGGGACUGAGACACGGCCCAUACUCCUACGGGAGGCAGCAGUAGGGAAUCUUCCACAAUGGGCGAAAGCCUGAUGGAGCAACGCCGCGUGUGUGAUGAAGGGUUUCGGCUCGUAAAACACUGUUGUAAGAGAAGAAUGACAUUGAGAGUAACUGUUCAAUGUGUGACGGUAUCUUACCAGAAAGGAACGGCUAAAUACGUG